UAUUGCACCAUCUGCCACCAGAGAGAGGAUGCUGCUGUUCACUGCUGCAGCACCAUGUUUACCAGCAGCAUGCGGUAUACAGAGGGUGACAUAUAAAAAAGUCAAGAAACAAUUUUUCCCCCUUUUCUUUCAUGGAGGGGUAGGGGGGUAAAUUGACG
Long non-coding RNA from Gopherus evgoodei (Goodes thornscrub tortoise), 158 nucleotides. RefSeq lists it as uncharacterized. The record is from RefSeq and is a predicted model, not a curated record. The transcript has 3 exons. NCBI's taxonomy places the organism in Eukaryota, Metazoa, Chordata, Testudines, Testudinidae.